Molecule: ribosomal RNA, 568 nt
Filed under: uncultured bacterium
Lineage: Bacteria
Description: partial 16S ribosomal RNA
Rfam family: Bacterial small subunit ribosomal RNA
Source: RNAcentral
UGGGGAAUAUUGCACAAUGGGCGAAAGCCUGAUGCAGCAACGCCGCGUGAGGGACGACGGCCUUCGGGUUGUAAACCUCUUUUAGCAAGGAAGAAGCGAAAGUGACGGUACUUGCAGAAAAAGCGCCGGCUAACUACGUGCCAGCAGCCGCGGUAAUACGUAGGGCGCAAGCGUUAUCCGGAAUUAUUGGGCGUAAAGAGCUCGUAGGCGGUUUGUCGCGUCUGCUGUGAAAACCCGAGGCUCAACCUCGGGCCUGCAGUGGGUACGGGCAGACUAGAGUGCGGUAGGGGAGAUUGGAACUCCCGGUGUAGCGGUGGAAUGCGCAGAUAUCAGGAAGAACACCGAUGGCGAAGGCAGAUCUCUGGGCCGUAACUGACGCUGAGGAGCGAAAGGGUGGGGAGCAAACAGGCUUAGAUACCCUGGUAGUCCACCCCGUAAACGUUGGGAACUAGUUGUGGGGUCCAUUCCACGGAUUCCGUGACGCAGCUAACGCAUUAAGUUCCCCGCCUGGGGAGUACGGCCGCAAGGCUAAAACUUAAAGGAAUUGACGGGGUCAUAGCUGUUUCCU